RNAcentral lists this transfer RNA (81 nucleotides) under Oryctolagus cuniculus (rabbit). It matches the Rfam family "tRNA". From Rfam's summary of the family: Transfer RNA (tRNA) molecules are approximately 80 nucleotides in length. Their secondary structure includes four short double-helical elements and three loops (D, anti-codon, and T loops). Lineage: Eukaryota; Metazoa; Chordata; Mammalia; Lagomorpha; Leporidae. The record is from Rfam by way of RNAcentral.
AGCGUUGUGGCUUAGCAGGUAAAGCUGCUGCCUGCAAUGCAGCAUCCCAUAUGGGUGCAGGUUCAAGUCCCAGCUGCUCUA